RNAcentral lists this ribosomal RNA (130 nucleotides) under Candidatus Cryptobacteroides equifaecalis. RNAcentral describes it as "partial 16S ribosomal RNA". It matches the Rfam family "Bacterial small subunit ribosomal RNA", at positions 1 to 125 of the family's 1533-position model. Lineage: Bacteria; Pseudomonadati; Bacteroidota; Bacteroidia; Bacteroidales. The record is from RNAcentral.
ACAAAGAAGAGUUUGAUCCUGGCUCAGGAUGAACGCUAGCGGCAGGCUUAACACAUGCAAGUCGAGGGGCAGCGCGGGGUAGCAAUACUCUGGCGGCGACCGGCGGAAGGGUGCGUAACACGUGAGCAAC